RNAcentral lists this long non-coding RNA (42330 nucleotides) under Gossypium barbadense (sea-island cotton). RNAcentral describes it as "long non-coding RNA (GBAR_LNC016776)". Lineage: Eukaryota; Viridiplantae; Streptophyta; Magnoliopsida; Malvales; Malvaceae. The record is from RNAcentral.
AAAAAUUUGGAUUUUAGAGAAAAAAGGGUUAGACUUGGAGCUAUUGACACGCAAGGAACCAUGCAUAUGAUUUGACUUCAAUACAAGAACUUGCAAAAAUGGAAGACUGCCCAACCAAUGAGGAAAUGUAUCAUUGAUCUUGUUGUUACCAAGAUCUAGCACUUCCAGACCUCUACAAUUAAGGAUGGAUGGUAUCAAUGGCCCUUCUAACAGAUUUCCAUUUAAGUUGAAAUUAGUCAAUCGGCAUCCCAGUGCAAAUUUUGGAGGAAUCGUCCCAUAGAACUUGUUCUUCUUCAGAUUCAAGAAUUCAAGGCUGUUGCUCAAAUUUCCAAAACAUCGCGGAAUUGUUCCACUCAAGUUAUUGUGGGACAAAUCAAGAACUCGAAGAGAAGUGGCAUUGCAGAUUAAAGAAGAGACCUCUCCAUUGAAACUAUUAUUUGAGAUCAAAAAGAAAUUGAUGGUCGAAGCUGGAAUCGGAAGAUUUCCGCUGAUCAAAUUGGAGCUUAAGUCAAGAACUUCAAUAUUCUUCCAUAGAAAGUGCUCAACUUCUGUCAAAGAGUUGUGAGAUACGUUUAAGUAAGUCAAAGAGCCAUUCCCCACCUCUUGCAUCCACUGUGGAAUCUUGCCUUCAAUUUUGUUGCAAGAGAGGUCUAAGCUUUCCAAACUUUUAAGCCCUUUUAAAAAUUGGGGGAAUUCACUAAGAUUGCAAGAUGACAAAAGUAAGUCUGUAACAUUAGGCAAUAUAUGAUUAACACUAGAUGUAGUAUUAGAUGUUAAGGAUAGGCUGUUAUAUGAAAGGUCGAGAUGUUUUAGAUUUGGAAGGUUUGAGAACAUGCGAAACUCUAUGACACCACUAAGAUUAUUUGAGGAUAAAAGGAGCCAGGUAAGAUUGAGAAGUUGGAAUAUUGAAGAUGGAAGGGGACCUUGGAGUUUAUUAUUUUCUAGAUCUAAAUAUUCUAGUGAUUUGGUUUGGAAUUCUUUGAUAUGCCCACUGAAUUGAUUUUGAGAGAGAAUUAUACCCUUUAAGGAGGGAGCAGUAUACAACCAUGACGGAAGUGUUCCAUUGAGUAAAUUGUCAUAUAAGACUAAAUAUAUUAGAUUCGGAACAGCGGUUACCUCAUCUGGAAUAGAACCUUCUAAAGAAUUUUCAGAUAUUUCCAAGUAUUCCAACUGCGUUAGGUUUAGAAUUGACAAUGGAAUUUGUCCACUCAAUUUAUUUGAUCCCAAGUCUAAAUGAGUGAGUUGCAAGAGGUUUCCAAGUGAUCUUGGAACCGGUCCUGAUAAGUUGGAAUAGGAGAGAUCUAAAAACUUCAAGGACACAAGAUUCCCCAUCGAGUCAGGCAAUCCUCCAAAAAAAUUUGCGCCUCUAAGAAUCAAGUACUCCAAAGAUGAUAAAUUUGUGAUUGAGACAGACAAUCCUUGAAAGAAAGAAAUUCCUGAUAGAUCUAAGUACUUUAAGGCCCGUAGAUUAUCAACCGAAUCAAUGAAUUCUGUAGAGAAGGACAUCCUCGACAGAUCCAAAUGUUCGAGAUUGCUGCUCCGGUUCAACUUCAAAGGAUCAAGAUUGAGGUUUUGGUUGCCUCCCAAGUUGAGGAGAUUGAGGUUUGGCAAAUCAAAAAUGUUUUUUGGGAAUUUUCCUUGCAAAUCACAACCAGCAAGACUGAGAGACCUUAGAGAAGAGGAUAGAUUCAUGAAGACAUGAGCAUUAACAUAAGACAUGUCCAUUCCACCCAAAAAUAGAUGUCUGACAUCGGUUAGGUUGUGAACAAGUCCCUCCAGAGCAUGUUUGUCAAUUGUUUGUUCACCAAACACAGAGGAGGAGAGAUCAAGUGAAACCAAUUUUGACAGGUGGGAGACUUGGGAUGGGACUUCUCCUGCAAACCCUGUAUAAGAAAGGUUGAGGUAGAAUAGGCUAGUAAACCGACCGAACUCGGAUGGAAUUUUGGAAAGAUUAAAAUCAUUGUAGGCAAGGUUGAGUUUUUGAAGGUGAGGAAGAAGGAAGAGAGUGGUAUUGGAAGGGAAGUUGCCAUAUAGCCAACUGCAGCUCAAGUCAAGGGCAAUAACAUGAGCAUUUAGGUGGUCACAAGUGACCCCAUCCCAUGAGCAGCAAUCUGUACCCUCCUUCCAUGAAUUUGUCUUGGGAUAAGAUUUAAGGCCAGCAUAAUCAUUGCAAUAAGAAGAAACAUCCUCUGUUACGGAAAAAGAGUCCUUAAACUGGAUUAGGGAAGAGCAGGAGUGAGAUCCUGAAGAAGAAAAAGAAGCAUAAAGAUGGGGAAAGAAGAGGAAUAGGCAGAGAAAGAGAUAGGGGGCCAUGUUAUGUUUGUAGAGAAAGAAGAAGGAUAGGAAUGGUAUUUGUAGGCAACAAAUAGUACCACAACAUUGGUGUUACAGUAUUUUUUUUUUCUUUUACAUUGAAAAGCUAUGGAUAUUAGAUUUUCAAAAAUUUUGUAUUUUUCACCAUCAUCAACAACCACUUAGUCUUCUUUUUACCAUAUAUUUUUCAUUCUAUUUUUUUAACAAAAUCUUGUAUUUCAUUUCAGCUUUCAAAACAACUAAAAAAUUUAAAAUUGAUGAAAUUACAAAGUAGAUUGACUUAGUCUUCUUUCCUAUAACAUUUAAAAGAAUAUCUUGUCAACCAAAGUUAAUUAAUGUGAAAAUUCUUUUUCACACAAAAGAACAAAAUUGUGCUCUAUUCACUAAGUUAGAGGAAAAAGACUGCUAGAUUUUUUAAUUAUUUUUUCUUUGAAAAAUUUGAAAGUUUUUUACUGCCUUUAAGCCAAUAAAAAAAACAUGUAUUAAUUUUGUUUUUAAAAAUAGUGUGUUUGAUUGUGAAAUGAUUCAUCAUCCUCCACCACAAACUAUCCAUAUUUGCAGUGUGAAAGCAGCUACUUUCAUAAAGAAAUUACUUAGGAGAUGGGAUCCACCAAUUUUACCUAAACUCGCAUCAACAUUGUUUAGCAAUUUCAAAAUAGACUAAUUAGUCUGGUUCAAAUACCAAGACUACAAUAUCUAUUCACUUCACUUGGUCUUGCUUCCUAUCGCUGUCAGCCAAACUUGAUCGACUAGCAGUAAGGAAAUUUCAGUCAUUUGCAGCAUAAUGUACAAGAAUUCCACUCCCGCAAAAUAAUUUACAAUAUGGACUAACACACUAAAAAUGAUUUUUAAAAAAUGAUUUUUAGAAAGUAAUUUUUGAAAAAUGGUUAGAAGAUAAUUUUUGUUUCUGAAAUAGUUAAUUUUUUUUGGUGUUUAGAUAAAUUUUGUUAUGUUUUCAUUGUUUACUUGAGUUUAUUUCAUAAAGCUUAUGUAUAUAUUUUAAUUAAUCAUGUUUUAGUUUUAAUUAAUCUUAAUUUACUUAAUUAAGCUUAAUUGUUAACUUCGUACAUUAGAAUAUAAAUUUAUGUUUAAUUAAGUUGAAAGUGAUAAAUAUUUAUUUUGAAUAUUAUUUGGAUAAGUUGAAAAAUGAUUUAAUUUGAUAAAAUUGAAGUCAGGGUCAUAGAACUAUGCUUUUUACUGACAAAAUCUUAGAUGCAGUGAUUAUUGAGACUAAAAAAUGAAAGUCAUGAAAGAAGACAUAAAUAGUUGAACCAUACAAAAUGUUACAUUUUGUAAUGCAAUGAAAUAUAGAUGAAUUGUUACAAAUAUAAAGACAGAUGCAUUGCAAUGCAACCUUUCUCCAUAGGAAAAAAAAUUUGACAGACUUCAAAACAAGAAAUUAUGAAGAUACAACAUACACACUUGAACAUCAUUUCCACUAACUAGAUCCUUCUUCGUCCAUUGCUGCGACUGCCAUCCUUUGACUUUCUUCUUCGCUACUUCUCAUGUUGGAUUCAACCAAAUUCACCAACCAUUUUGGCUUACUAAUUUGGAAAACAACAUAUCCCACGACCAUUCCAAACACUACUCCGCAUCCAUAACCUAUCAACACCAAUUUCCAACCAAAAGAGAUGUUUGAUUUUGAACCAUCUUUUCCAAGCACAUUUGGAGGUGGUGGCUCAAUGAUGUUGCAACCUUUUGAGACCGGAAAUCCACAUAAUCCCUUGUUUCCUUCAUAUGAAUCAUUUCCAUAUGUGUUGAACUGUUUGCCUUGAGGAAUCUGACCAUGGAGUUGAUUUUCAGAAACAUUGAAGGACGAAAGAAAUGCCAGAUCUGCAAAUCUAUUUCGAAUUGUCCCUGACAACCUGUUUGAAUAUAGGUCCAACCAUUCAAGACUCGUCAAAUUCCCUAUUGAAGUGGGGAUACCACCGUUAUAAACACUGUCAUAUGGCAUGAAUAACAUACUCAUAUAUUUACUGUCACAUGGCAUGAAAAACACACCCUCAUAUUCACUUUCACAUUAGUCAUCAUAAGCUUAUAACAUAUGUCAUAGCAAUCUCAUAUAUAUUCAUAAUUUCACAAUUUCACAAGCGUACAUAUAUCACAUUUAAUCAUAUGCGCGAGAAAACUUACUCUCACUUACUCUUGGAAUUUAGAGUAGGAAUUUAGGCUACCACUAAAUUCUCAUCAAUUAAACAAUGAAUCAUCUACGAGCAACAAUUUCAAACCACAAUGAAUCGAGAGCUCAAACUAGCUCUUCCUCUAACUCGUAGAAGGCUUUAAUGAAUCCGAGGCUUCACACAUGACAAUCACACAAUACUCACAGUCAAAUGACAGCCAAGGACCCACUUAAACUAACCAAAAUAAAAGCCUAAGCUACCUUCUAAUGUAACCAAACCCUUUAGCAUGACGAACUUAAAAUGCAAAUAUAUCAAUCUACACUUAAACAUUUUCACAUGAAACAAGUUUCAGUCAUCCCCCAUAUUCAUUUAUAGCUAAACUCCAAUCUUUAAACCACACAAAACUACAAGUUUCAAGGUAUAACAUUUUUCCACAAAUUUUGACCAUAAUAAUGAAAAUUCAUUAAAACACGGGAAAUCUAUAAUGAAACUUAGAAGUAAUUUUAAAAAACUUCUAAUUAAGUUAAAACAAGUUGAAAAACACUUUUAAAUCACUUUUUCAUCCACAAUCUCGAAUUCCACCAUUAAUGACCCAAUUUUUAGGUUUAAAUUAAAACAUGCAAUUUCAUAACUAAAAUCUCAAUUUUAAAGUCUAGAUAACAUUAAAAACUAAUGAGAAAGUAAAUGGUUACCUUUGAUGAAAGAUUAAACGAGUUUUGAAGUAAAUUUGAAAAACCCACAAUUGAAGAAGAAGAUGAAAUCUAUGGCGUUUUUGAGUGUUUUUCUUGGAAUUAUAAGAAAUCAAAGUACUAUUGUUUGGGAAUAAAAAUUAAUUGAAAGAUCAAGGGAAUAGCAAAGGACGGCAAUAGCAAACUUUGGAGAGUAACUAUUGUGAAAUAGAACAGGGAAUGGGGUUUAUUAGGUUCAAUUUAAAACAUUGGUAAAACUUCAAUCUAAGUGCUCACUAUUUUAACUUUGUUACAAAUUAGUUCUUUUUCUAAAUUUUAGGUAUUUAAAACUCAUUUUCAGAAAUCGGCUCAAUUCCCUAAUAGCCAUUGUCGAAAACAUUAUUGAAUACUAACCUUACGAAAUUUUGAUUACAUAUAGGCUAAAAUUCCUAAAAAAAAAUUGAAACUCUUAGAUCCUAUUUUGGGGUGUUCACGUAUGGUCAUGAUUCAUGUUGAAUUAAUACAUCAUUCACCGUAAUAAGGCUUAUCGUUGUAAUAAUUAGUUAAAUCACCUAAUAUCUAAAAAAUUAUUAUUAUUUUCAUAAAAUCAUUGAUCAAAUUAUUGUUUUCAAAUUUCAUACAUAAAAUUAACAAAUAAAGAUAGCUCUAAAUAGCAAAACCCAAUAUGUGUAACAAGUAUUUUUAUUAAUCCAUUUGGAAUGUUAAGGUUUGCUGGAGCAAAUAAAUUGAUUAAUGCUUUGAACUUUCCAAACACUUUUUAUAGUUUUGUUAUAUGCAUUUUGUAUAAUUAGUAUAUUUGAAUAUAUUAGAUACAUCGUCUAAAACAAUGCCAAUUGUAAUUUUUUUAUAUUUUGUUGAUCAUAAGCGUAUUAUAUAAAUAAUUUAAAAAAAAAAAGAUGGAGUGAUACAUUUAUGUAGUGCUUAUGAAUAUAAUGUUGGAUUAAAAUCCUUAAUUAUGAGUACAUAUGUAUAUGCUUGAUAUUACAAUUAUCUUAAUAAUUUUGUUUCUGUUCUUGUUGAUUGAUGAUUAUAGAAAUCAUUAUUCUUCUGAAGGCAUACUUUGUUGUCAAUGACAGUACCUGCACCCUAAAAAAGUCACCAGCUUUAACGACUACAAAAGUUGUCCUGCCUGAUAUUUAUUAAAAAAUCACCAGGAAGCACAUUGUCAGGACAUCCUUGCUGGAAAAAAACUUGGUAGGAUGGUUUUUCUGUGCAAACUUAGUAAUUAAUUUAUGUUGUUUUUACCAAACUUUGUAGCGUUUCACUUUUGGUAAAAUUUCAUCCUUGGUCCCUUUAAACUCCUUUUUGCUUUAAUUUGAUUGCUUUCUAGCGUUGCAAAUUACAUAACACUCUUCAAAUGUCUUAUUAAAUUCUCACUUUUACGAGUGCUAUGUUAAUCAAUUUUAAGUUCCAUAUAACACUUACAUGGCUACAAAAUGUGUGUGUGUGUAAGUGUCCUCAACCACAAACAAUCCAAAUUUGCUGAGAAACCACCCAUUAUAUAUAGGUUUGCCAAUGAGAUGGCAAGCAGACUGCUAGCUAGAAAUUCAUGCAUCUUUGAAUCACCAAUUCAAUUAAUAAGCUUAACUAGAGGAAAUAAGGACUUUACACCACCAAUUAAAGCAACCUAUAUGUACCCUUUUACAGUCUGCAUUGUUCCAUGUUUCCAUUCAUUACAUCAUUCCUUCAACUCUGCUAUAUAUUAUUACCGUCUCCAGAAAACCAAACCUUUUACUGCUAACUUGUAAAAAAAUUAUGAAAAUACAACAGAGAUCAUUGAGACAUUGUUGAAGUUGGCUUGCAUGCAGACCAAGAAGCACACCAAGCUGUCCGAGAUAUGCAAGUUGCAGCUGAAGCUUAUGCUGCUGUUUUGUUACUUUCAAAUAGAUAUUUUAUUAUUUACUUAGAUAUGAACUAAGUUGCUGAUAUGCUUGAUGUAAUUAGGAGCUGAUAGAUUGAUAAAUCAGCUUUACCAAGUGUACAAGCAAUGUUUAUCAAGUUACUAAGCCACUUAGUGGAGUUAGGUAUGUGUUUAGGUAACAUUUUCUUAUUUUUGACCAGCUGAUUGCUUGCUAUAUGUAAUGGCAUUGUGCCUUCAUUCAAAUGUAAAGAAAUCUUUCAGAAAAUUCUUCUUCAUUUGGUCUUUACCUAAGCAUUUUUUUUCACGAAGCUCUUGCUGUUUUUGUUUUGUUUGUUGAGCAAGAUAACAAUGCUUUAUGCUUAAGUUUCUGUCAAAAUUUCUCAUUCUGUUUUCUUAGUUCCUACAGACAUUUUGUUCUCCUUUCUCCUUUACUGAGCAGUAGCAAAGAUUAUCGAGACUAAAUUGAAAUCCAUGAAAGAAGACAUAAACAACACCACCAUACAAAAUGUCACACUCAAACAAACCAUUACAGAUACGAAAUGCAAUGAAAGACAGAGGAAUUGGUACAAUAAUAAAGACAGCCAGAUACCAAUGCAACCCUUCACCAUAGGCAAAACGGUCUACAAACAAGAAAUUAUGAAAAAUACAACACUAAUUCUUGAACAUCAUUUGCAGUAAUUAAAUCCUUCUUCGUCUACUGCUGUGAUUGCCUUUCUUUGACUUUCUUCUUCGCCUCUUCUCAUGUUGGUUUUCAACCAAAUUCACCAACCAUUUUGGCUUACCAGUUUGGAAAACAACAUAUCCCACGGACAUUCCGAACACUACUCCGCAUCCAUAACCUAUCAACACCACUUUCCAACCAAAAGCAAUGUUUGAUUUUGAGCCAUCUUUUUCAAGCACAUUUGGAGGUGCUGGAUCAAUGAUGUUGCAACCUUUCGAGACCGGAAACCCACACAGUCCCUUAUUUCCUUCAUAUGAAUCAUUUCCAAAUGUGUUGAAUUGUUUGCCUUGAGGAAUCUGACCAUGGAGUUGAUUUUCAGAAACAUUGAAGGACGAAAGAAAUGGCAGAUCUGCCAAUCUAUUUGGAAUCGUCCCAGACAACCUGUUUGAAGAUAGGUCCAACCAUUCAAGACUUGUCAAAUUCCCUAUUGAGGUGGGGAUAUCACCAAUAAGGUUAUUAUGAGAAAGGUUGAGCCCUUUCAGUAAGUUAAGCUUCCCAAUAACCUUUGGAAUACCCCUUUCAAACUGAUUGUUUGAUAGAUCAAUGAUCAUCCACAUGGUGAAAAUUUUCACCAAUUCCCUAUCUUGUCCUUUCAUAACAAUUCCAAUGGAAUAGGUAUAGAAGCCAACUCCAUAAUCAUGCACCCCCAUGUAUGACACUGUACUACCAAUCUUCUCUAGAUUUAUGAUAGCCUUGAAGCUGUUGAUGUAUCUCACUGGUAGGGGUCCAGAAAAAUAAUUACUUGAGAGAUCAAAAAUUUGGAUUUUAGAGAAAAAAGGGAUAGACUUGGAGCUAUUGACACAUAAGGAACCAUGCAGUUGAUUUGACUUCAAUACAAGAACUUGUAGCUGUGGAAGACUUCCCAACCAGUGAGGAAAUGUAUCAUUGAUCUUGUUGUUACCAAGAUCUAGCACUUCCAGACCUCUACAAUUAAGGAUGGAUGGUGUCAAAGGCCCUUCUAACAGAUUUCCAUUUAAGUUGAAAUUACUCAAUCGGCAUCCCUUUGCAAAUGCUGGAGGAAUCGUCCCAUAAUACUUGUUCUUCUUCAGAUUCAAGAAUAGAAGGCUGUUGCUCAAAUUUCCAAAACAUUGUGGAAUUGUUCCACUCAAGUUAUUGUGGGACAAAUCAAGAAUUUCAAGAAAAGCGGCAUUGCAUAUUAAAGAAGAGACCUCUCCAUUGAAACUAUUAUUUGAGAUCAAAAAGACUCUUAUGGUCGAAGCUGGAAUCGGAAGAUUUCCACUGAUCAAAUUGGAGCUUAAGUCAAGAACAUCAAUAUUCUUCCAUGGAAAGUGCUCAACUUCUGUCAAAGUGUUGUGAGAUACAUUUAAGUGAGUCAAAGAGCCAUUCCCCACCUCUCGCAUCCACUGUGGAAUCUUGCCUUCAAUUUUGUUGCAAGAGAGGUGUUGAAGUAAUGGUCAGCAUGCAGCAACCAAGACUGUCAAAGGCACUACAUGCAGAAGCUGCUGGUUCACCUAGUCAGCAAGCUGUUUAUGUUUCAUUUUGUAAUUUUAAGUUAGAGUAAUGUAACUUAGUUGCUUUAUAACUAUGUUAGGUUUAUGUUUGAUGUAAUUUUGAUGUUGACUGAGCUGAUAAAUCAGCUUUGUUUGUUUAUUCAAGCUAAUUAGCACAAGUUACUAUGUGUAUUAGUGGUAGUAGGUGAAGUUUAGGUCAACCUACUGUUUUGUCAAGAUUGUAAACUUGUUUUAUGUAUUGGCUUUGUGCCAUAUUUAGUUUGAUGAAUGAAUUCAAGAAGUUAUCAUCCAUAUGCUCUCCAUUUUUAGUUUUGCUUAAAAAUCCAUUUGAGUUUUCUGCUUUGUUUCUCCUACAAGUCACGAGACUUGCCAUACAAGCAUUCUGCUGAAGCUUGCUGCUGCUGCCUCUUGCACCAACAAUUGGUAUCUAGAGCCACAUUCUUAGAGGACCUGUUGUAGUUCAGUAUCAAAACGAUGGCAUCAUCAGGUUUUUCACCAGCUUCACCACCUGUCUUCAAUGGAGAGGGCUUCAACAUUUGGGCAGUUAAGAUGAGGACUUACCUGCAGGCAUUCGACCUAUGGGAAGUUGUUAACUCAGAUGCUGAGCCAGCACCUCUUCGAGCUAAUCCAACAGUUGCUCAAAUAAGGCAACACACUGAUGAAAGGACAAAAAGGCACAAGGCCAUGUCAUGCAUACAGAAUUGUGUGACAGAUGUGAUCUUUAUGAGGAUCAUGGCCUGUGAGACACCAAAGGAGGCUUGGGACAAGCUGAAAGAAGAAUUUCAGGGGACUGAGAAAACAAGGCAACAACAGCUGCUCAAUUUGAGAAGAGAUUUCGAAAAUCUCAAAAUGAAAGAGGAAGAAACAGUUAAGCAGUACUCAGACCGGAUUAUGGCUGUUGUAAACAGCAUAAGGCUCCUAGGAGAGCAAUUCAGUGAAGCUAGAAUGGUUGAGAAAGUCAUGUCCACUCUACCAGAGAGGUAUGAAGCUAAAAUUUCAUCCCUCGAAGACUCAAGGGACUUGACAACUAUCUCCUUAACUGAGCUAAUCAAUGCCUUGUAUGCAUAAGAGCAAAGAAGAGCUAGCAGACAAGAGGAGCACCAGGAAGGGGCUUUUCAAGCCAAAGAAGCCUCGAGCAUCAAAACUCAUAAAGGCAAAAAGUUCUGGAAAAACAAGCCUAAGCCUGAUGCUGCUAGGAGCAGUGACCAACUCUGCAGACAUUGUAAAAGAGCUGGUCAUCCAGAAGAUAGAUGCUGGUUUAGACCAGAUGCAGUAUGCCAAAACUGCAAGAAAAAAGGCCAUGUUGAAAAAGUUUGCAAGAAUAGAAGCAAACCAAGACAGAAUCAAUUUCAGCAACAAAAGGUGGAAGCUCGAGUAGCUGAAGAAAGUAGUGAUCAAGAAGAACAUGUUUUUGCUGUGUCAUGUGCAGCAAAUCAGAAGAAGGGUUCAAAGGGCUGGCUUCUAGACAGUGGGUGCACAAACCACAUGUCACCAGAUGCAACUAUCUUCAAAACCCUGGACAGAACCUGCAAAACCAAAGUAAAAAUUGGAAAUGGUCAGUUAAUCAAUGCUGAAGGAAGAGGAGAUGUGCUGAUUCAUACUUCUACAGGUGGCAAAAUCAUUUCAAAUGUACUUUUGGUACCUGAAAUCGAUAGGAACCUUCUCAGUAUAACUCAACUACUUGAGAAAGGUUACUCAGUUGUUUUCAAGGAGAAAGAAUGUCAAAUUUUUGAUCCAAGUGGAUCAAAUCUUAUAACAGUCACCAUGACUGAUAAAUGUUUUGAAGUAGACUGGCCAAAUGACUCACAUUCAGCCUGCAUAGCCUCCACUAAUGACUCGAGACUCUGGCAUCAGAGGCUUGGACAUGCAAACUACAAAUCCAUAGCCCGCAUGGUCAAUGAAGGUCUGGCAGAAAAUUUCAUUGAUUCAGUGAAGAAUGAUGAGCUUUGUGAGAUAUGUCAGCAAGGAAAAUUGGCAAGAUUGCCAUUUCCAACAAGCACAACAUGGAGAGCAUCAGAGAAGCUCCAGCUUGUGCAUACAGAUGUGUGUGGACCAAUGAAGACUGAGUCUCUCAAAGGAAGCAGGUACUUUAUUUUAUUUAUUGAUGACUUAACAAGAUACUGCUGGAUUUAUUUUCUAAAACAGAAAUCAGAAGUACCAUCUAUGUUCCUGAAGUAUAAGGCUGCUGUUGAAACUGAGUCUGGUUGCAAACUUAGAGCAAUGAGGUCAGAUAAUGGAACUGAGUACACCUCAGCUCAGUUCCAAGUCUACUGUGAAGAAGCAGGUAUCAAACACCAGUUGACUAAUGUGUAUACACCCCAACAGAAUGGGGUCAGUGAAAGGAAAAACAGAAGCUUGAUGAACAUGGCAAGAUGUCUUCUGUUUGAGAAGAAUUUGCCCAAAAGUCUGUGGGCUGAAGCUGUUAACACAGCAGUUUAUCUCUAAAAUAGGCUCCCAACCAAGGCUCUGGCUGAGAAGACUCCAUUUGAAGCCUGGUUUGGGUUUAAGCCAUCACUGGCUCAUCUCAGAACCUUUGGUUGUCUGUGCUAUACUCAAGUUCCAGCUGAGAAGAGAAGCAAGCUAGACAAAAGAGCUCAAGCAGGGAUCCUGAUCGGCUACAGCUUGGUUAAGAAGGGCUACAGAAUUCUAGAACCUGCUACAAACAAGAUAUUGGUUAGCAGGGAUGUUGUUUUCAAUGAAAAAGGACACUGGAAUUGGGAGAAGGCUGAACCAGAGGCAGUGGCUGAAGAUCUGGCAGUGGACCAAGUUGAAAAUGGUGAAAACACACCUGAAAUGGAUGUAGAUGAUGUUCCAAUCAGAGGCACUCGAUCACUGGCUGAUGUUUAUGAAAGAGCACAAGUGGCUACUGUUGAACCAAAUUGCUUUGAAGAAGCAGAAAACCAGGAGGACUGGAAGCAAGCAAUGAUUGAAGAAAUCAGAAUGAUUGAAAAGAAUCAGACCUGGAGUCUGGUUGAUAAACCAACAAACAGGAAGAUUAUUGGUGUCAAAUGGGUUUAUCGAGUAAAGAACAAUGCUGAUGGUAGCCUAAACAAGUUAAAGGCUAGAUUGGUUGUGAAAGGCUUCAGUCAAAGGUAUGGAUCAGACUACCUGGAAACCUUUGCACCAGUGGCCAGGUUAGACACUAUUAGACUGCUAGUUGCCUUAGCAGCACAAAAACAGUGGCUGAUACACCAACUUGAUGUAAAAUCAGCAUUUCUGAAUGGAUUCCUUGAAGAGGAGAUUUAUGUGGAGCAACCUCAAGGUUUCAAGGUGUCUGGCAAAGAAGAUAUGGUGUACAAGCUCAACAAAGCCUUGUAUGGCUUGAAACAGGCUCCAAGGGCCUGGUAUAGCAGAAUAGAUGGCUAUCUGACCAGUCAAGGAUUUGAAAGAAGUCUUAGCGAGCCAACUCUGUAUGUUAAAUCAACUAGUGCUGAAACUCAGCUCAUUGUCUCAAUAUAUGUCGAUGACCUACUGGUGACAGGAGGAGAUCAUGAGAUGCUAAGCAGUUUUAAAGUCAAAAUGCAACAGCACUUUGAAAUGUCAGACUUGGGAUUGAUGUCUUACUUCUUAGGCAUGGAAGUAACUCAAGCUAAGAAUGGGAUUUGGCUAAGUCAAAAGACCUUUGCUAUGAAGGUUCUCAACAAAUUCUCAAUGGAGAAUUGCAAAGCAACCAGCACACCAGUUGCUGUUGGAGAAAAACUCUCGAGCCAAGACAAGCAUGAAAAGGUUUGUGAAACAACCUAUCGAAGUCUAGUUAGAUGUUUGUUGUAUUUGACUGCUACUAGACCUGACAUAAUGUAUGCUGUGAGUCUACUCUCGAGGUUUAUGCAUUCUUCAAAUGAAAGUCAUUUUAGAGCUGCAAAAAGGGUUCUAAGAUACAUCAAAGGAACUUUGUCCUAUGGAAUGCAGUUUACCAAGGCUGAGAACUUGAGGCUAGUUGGAUAUUGUGACAGUGAUUGGGCUGGUUCUUUGGAUGACAUGAAGAGCACUACAGGUUAUGCAUUCAACAUAGGCUCUGCUAUGAUAUGCUGGAGCUCAAAGAAGCAAGGAGUAGUGGCUCAGUCGACUGCAGAAGCAGAAUAUGUGGCUGCUGCUGCAGCAGUCAAUCAAGCCAUAUGGCUUAGAAAAAUUUUGAAAGAUAUCAAUCAUGAGCAAAAGGAAGCAACUGAGAUAAUGUCUGACAACCAAUCAGCAGUUGCUAUUGCAAAGAAUCCUGUUUUUCAUGGAAGGACCAAGCACUUCAACAUCAAACUUCAUGCAGUUCGGGAAAUGGAACAAGCUCAUGUUGUUAAGCUGAUACAUUGCAGUUCUGAAGAGCAAAUUACUGAUAUUUUAACAAAAGCACUAAGUGUUUCCAAGUUUCAACACCUGAGAGCUAAUAUGGGAGUUUGCAACAUGCUAACCAAGGAGGAGUGUUGAAGUAAUGGUCAGCAUGCAGCAACCAAGACUGUCAAAGGCACUACAUGCAGAAGCUGCUGGUUCACCUAGUCAGCAAGCUGUUUAUGUUUCAUUUUGUAAUUUUAAGUUAGAGUAAUGUAACUUAGUUGCUUUAUAACUAUGUUAGGUUUAUGUUUGAUGUAAUUUUGAUGUUGACUGAGCUGAUAAAUCAGCUUUGUUUGUUUAUUCAAGCUAAUUAGCACAAGUUACUAUGUGUAUUAGUGGUAGUAGGUGAAGUUUAGGUCAACCUACUGUUUUGUCAAGAUUGUAAACUUGUUUUAUGUAUUGGCUUUGUGCCAUAUUUAGUUUGAUGAAUGAAUUCAAGAAGUUAUCAUCCAUAUGCUCUCCAUUUUUAGUUUUGCUUAAAAAUCCAUUUGAGUUUUCUGCUUUGUUUCUCCUACAAGUCACGAGACUUGCCAUACAAGCAUUCUGCUGAAGCUUGCUGCUGCUGCCUCUUGCACCAACAAGAGGUCUAAGCUUUCCAAACUUUUAAGCCCUUUUAAAAAUUGGGGGAAUUCACUAAGAUUGCAAGAUGACAAAAAUAAGCUUGUAAGAUUAACAGUAGAAGUUGUAUUAGAUGUUAAGGAUAGGCUGUUAUAUGAAAGGUCAAGAUAUUCGAGAUUUGGAAGGUUUGAGAACAUGCGAAACUCUAUGACACCACUAAGAUAAUUUGAGGAUAAGCUAAGUUGGGUAAGAUUGAGAAGUUGGAAUAUUGAAGAUGGAAGAGGACCUUGGAGUUUAUUAUUCUCUAACCAUAUCCAUUCUAGUGAUUUGGAUUGGAAUUCUUUGAUAUGCCCACUGAAUUGAUUUUGAGAGAGAUAUAUUGUCUUUAAGGAGGGAGCAAUAUACAACCAUGACGGAAGUGUUCCAUUGAGUAAAUUGUCAGAUAAGUCUAAAUAUAUUAGAUUAUGAAAAGCGGUUACCUCAUCUGGAAUGGAACCUUCUAAAGAAUUGUUAGAUAUUGUCAAGUAUUCCAGCUGCGUUAGGUUUAGAAUUGACAAUGGAAUUUGUCCACUCAAUUUGUUCCAUCCCAAGUCUAAAACAGUGAGUUGCAAGAGGUUCCCCAAUGAUCUUGGAAUCUGUCCACUCAAUUGGUUCAGCCACAAGUCUAAAUGAGUGAGUUGCAAGAGGUUCCCUAAUGAUCUUGGAAUUUGUCCACUCAAUUGGUUCUUCGACAAGUCUAAAUGAGUGAGUUGCAAGAGGUUCCCCAAUUUUCUUGGAAUUUGUCCACUCAAUUGGUUCUCCGACAAGUCUAAAUGAGUGAGUUUCAAGAGAUUCCCCAGUGAUCUUGGAACCAGUCCUGAUAAGUUGGAAUGGGAGAGAACUAAAAACUUCAAGGACACAAGAUUCCCCAUCGAGUCAGGCAAUCCUCCACAAAUAUUUGCGUCUGAAAUUAUCAAUUGUUCAAGAUUGCUGCUCCGAUUGAACUUCAAAGGAUCAAGAUUGAGGUUUUGGUUGCCUCCCAAGUUGAGGAGAUUGAGGUUUGGCAAAUCAAAAAUGUUUUUUGGGAAUUUUCCUUGCAAAUCACAACCAACAAGACUGAGAGACCUUAGAGAAGAGGAUAGAUUCAUGAAGACAUGAGCAUUAACUGAAGACAUGUCCAUUUCAUCCAAAAACAGACGUCUGACCUCGGUUAGGUUGUGAACAAGACCCUCCAGAGCAUAUUUGUCAAUUGUUAAUAGUUCAUCAAACCCAGAAAGAUCAAGUGAAACCAAUUUUGACAGGUGGGAGACUUGGGAUGGGACUUCUGAAAACCAUGUAUUGGAAAGGUUGAGGUAGAAUAGGCUUGUAAACCGACCGAACUCGGAUGGAAUUUUGGAAGAAUUAAAAUCAUUGUAGGCAAGGUUGAGUUUUUGAAGGUGAGGAAGAAGGAAGAGAGUGGUAUUGGAAGGGAAGGUGCCAUAUAGCCAACUGCAGCUCAAGUCAAGGGCAAUAACAUGAGCAUUUAGGUGGUCACAAGUGACCCCAUCCCAUGAGCAGCAAUCUGUACCCUCCUUCCAUGAAUUUGUCUUGGGAUAAGAUUUAAGGCCAGCAAAAUAAUCGCAAUGAUCAAAAGAAGCAUCCUCUCUUAUGGAAAAGGAGUCCUUAAACUGGAUUAGUGAAGAGCAGGAGUGAGAUCCUGAAGAAGAAAAAGAAGCAUAAAGAUGGAGAAAGAAGAGGAAUAGGGAGAGAAAGAGAUAGGAGGCCAUGUUAUGUUGGUAGAGGAAGAUGAAGGAUAGGAAUGGUAUUUAUAGGCAACAAAUAAUACCACAACAUUGGUGUUACAGUCUUUUUUCUUUUACAUUGAAAAGCUAUGGAUAUUAGAUUUUCAAAAUUUUUGUAUUUUUCACAAUCAUCAACAACCACUUUGUCUUCAUUUUACCAUAUAUUUUUCAUUCUUAAAAUUGGAUUAUUUUCUUUUAGCAAAAUCUUGUAUUUCAUUUGAACUCCCUAAACAACUAAAAAAUUAAGAUUGAUAAAAUUACAAAGUAGAUUGACUUAGUCUUCUUCCUUGUAACACGUAAAGAAUUUCCACGCAAAAGAACAAAAUUGUGCUCUAUUCUUUACGUUUGAGGAAGAAGACUGCUGGAAUUUUAAUCCACUGAUUCCAUAAAAACGUGUAUACUUAUAUAUAUAUAUAUUUAUAACCUCAUAAUUUAAAUCUAAAAUCUCAUUUGUUAUAAAUUCUGAUAAAUUUAUUUGGGAAUUGCUAUUUUUCAUUCGUUAAUUAUUUCUCUUUUAAUCGAGUAAAAAAUUAAAACUAAAGACAUAAUGAUUUAUUUGGUAUUUUUUAACUUCGCAAACGAAAAAUUAUUUUAGCUUUCUAUUUUUUUUUAUCUCUUUUAGUCUUGAAAUUUAUAUGGUUCAUUAAAUCACCCAAAAAAAUGAUGAAAAAAAUAACAAAACUAGCACCUACGUGGCUGAUGUUGACCCUUAAUAGUUAAUGGCAACACCUAUGUAGUUGUUAACAGAUACCACACCAACACUGUUUGUUGACGUGACAAUGCCACAUGAUCAAUAAUCGCAGACAUGGUAGCGCCACGCCAUCGCCCAUUGAUGACAUAUUAACCUUUGAGUUAAACUCAAAUAAUUUGGUCCCAAAUAGUUUUCAACACAAAAGAAUAGAGGAAGAAGACUGCUACAGGUUUAACUAUCAAUUGUCUAUUGACUAUACUUUUAACUCCACUAAAAAAGACCAAGACUAAGACUAUCAAUUGUCUAUUGACUACACUUUAACUCGACAAAAAAAGACCAAGACUAAGACUAUCAAUUGUCUAUUGGCUUCACACUUGCUGUUGCUUCCUCCUAUUUCUCUCACCCAAACUUAAUUUACAAGCAAUGUGGAAAUUUUGGACAUUUGCCCACAACGUACAAUACUUCCACACCAUUUGCAGUAUUGACUACGUUUACUUGAGGGAAAACAAAGACAUGAACGCUGGAAAUUUUAACUAGUUUGUACCGUCAAUGAAGCUACGUACCUAAAAGCCAUUUAGGAUAUCAAUUCCUGUAAUUGGAGUAAUCUCAUCGUUGCUGCAAUCUUUUGACAGUUUAAUCGAAUCUUAAAUAUGUUACUCUGCAAUGCUAUUGUAAAUAUUUUUCUUAAAUUUGUCGAUAGAUUUAUAGGUUUGGCACAAAAUUAAGAAUACACAAAGGCAGGUUGAAUUAUUCCAUGUUUGAACAUCUGCAACAUAAAUGCAUAUGGCAAAAGGGCUCAAACCAUACCUUAUGUUCAUGAAUUCUCAUCAUCACGUGUUUAUAAAUGCAACUCAAACUUCAAUAAUUGAAUCUUUUGUAAUUCUACAUGUAUUUUUUUAUUAUGGCGAGCAGUAUAAUGUUUACUAAAAAUUGAAAUUCAAGAAAGAAGACAUAUAUAGUUGCACCAUACAAGAUGUUACACUCGAACUAAACGCUUACAAAUAGUACGAAAUGCAAUUGAAUACAGAGGAAUUGGUACAAUCAUAAAAACAGACACAUACCAAUGCAACUUUUCACCAUAGGAAAAACUUUCUGACAGACUACUAAACAAGAAAUUAUGAAGACACAGUAGAAAUGCUUUAACUUCAUUUGCACCAACUAGAUCAUUCUUCAUCCACUCAUGCGAUUGCUAUAUUUUGGCUUUCUUCUUCGCCUCUUCUCAUGUUGGUCUUCAACCAAAUUCACGAACCUUUUCACCUUAUCGGUUUGGAAAACAACACAUCCCAUGGCCAUUCCAAACACUACCCCGGAUCCAUAACCUAUCAACACCACUUUCCAACCAAAAGCAAUGUUUGCUUUUGAGCCAUCCUUUUCCAGCACAUUUGGAGGUGGUGUCUCAUUGAUGCUGCAACCUUUGGAGACUGGAAAUCCACAUAGUCUCUGUUUCCUUCGUAUGAAUUGUUUCCAAAUGUAUUGAACUGUUUGCCUUGAGGAAUCUGACCAUGGAGUUGAUUUUCGGAAACGUUUAAUAAGGAAAGAAAUGCCGGAUCUGCCAAUAUCUCUGGAAUUAACUCAGUUCAAAAGACUAUAUAACUCGUAAAGUUUGGUCGAAGACUAGCAGGGGUCAAGAAAAAUAAUUACUUGAAUUGUCAAAAUUUUGGAUUUUAGAGAAACAAGCACUAGACUUGGAGCUAUGGUCAUGCAAGGAACCAUGCAUUUCAUUUGACUUUAGUACAAGAACUUGUAGCCGUGGAAGACUUCCCUACCAAUGAGGAAAUGUAUCAUUGAUCUUGUUGUUCCUAAGAUCUAGCACUUCCAAAGACCUAAAAUUGAGGAUGGAUGGUGACAAAUGCCAUUCAAAUUGAUUUCCAUUUAAGUUGAGAUUACUCAAUUGGCAUCCCUUUGCAAAUGUUGGAGGAAUCAAUCCAUAAAACUUGUUCUUCUUUAGAUUCAAAAAUUCCAGGUUGUUGCUCAAAUUUCCAAAACAUUGUAGAAUAGUUCCACUCAAUUUAUUGUGGGACAAGUCAAGAAUUUGGAGAGCACUCACAUUGCCUAUCAAAGAAGAGACCUCUCCACUUAAACUAUUGUUUGAAGUAAAAAACACGUUGAUUGUCGAAGAUGGGAUUGGAAGAUUUCCAUGGAUCAAAUUGGAGCUUAAGUCAAGAAUAUUAAUAUUCUUCCAUGGAAGUUGCUCAACUUCUGUCAAUGAAUUGUGAGAUAAAUUUAAGUAACUCAAAGAGUCACACGUCACUUCUUGCAGCCAUUGUGGAAUCUUCCCUUCAAUUCUAUUGUUAGAAAGCUCCAAAGUUUUCAACUUUUUUAACCCUUUCAAAAAUCGGGGGAAUUGGCUGACAUUAUUUGAGCUUAAGGAUAGGCUGUUUAGUGAAAGGUCAAGAUAUUCGAGAUUUGGGAGAUUUGAGAACAUGCCAAACUCUAUGACACCACUGAAAUUAUUUGAGUAUAAAAGGAGCCAGGUAAGGUUGAGAAAUUGGAAUAUUGAAGAUGGAAGAGGACCUUGGAGAUUAUUAUUCCCUAACACUAUCAUUCUAGUGAUUUGGAUUGGAAUUCUUUGAUGUGUCCACUGAAUUGAUUCUGAGAGAGAGAUAUUUCCAUUAAGGAGAAAGCAUUAUACAACCAUGACAGAAGUUUUCCAUUGGGUAAAUUGUUAGAUAAGUCUAAAGAUAUUAGAUUAGGGAAAGCAGCUACCUCAUCUGGAAUGGGACCUUCUAAAGAAUUUUCAGCUAUUCUCAAGUGUUCAAGCUGUGUUAGGUUUACAAUUGACAAUGGAACUUGUUCACUCAAUUGGUUCCAUGACAAGUCUAAAUAUAUGAGCCACAAGAGGUUCCCCAGAGAUCUCGAAAUUGAUCCCUGUAAAUUGGAAUUAGAGAGAGACAAAUAUUUCAAGACGUGCAGGUUGUCAAUCAAAUCAAUCAAUUUUGAAAAGGAGGACAUCCAUGACAGAUCCAAAUGUUCAAGAUUACUGCUCUGAUUGAACUUCAGAAGAUCAAGAAUCAGGUUUCGGUUGUAUCCUAAGUUGAGCAAAUUGAGGUUUGGCGAAUGAAGAACGUUUCUUGAGAAUUUUCCUUGCAAAUCACAACCACCAAGACUGAGAGACUUUAUAGAAGAGGAUAGAUUGAUGAAAACAUUAGGAUUAAUAGAAGGCAUGAUAAUUCUAUCAAGAAAAAGAUGUCUCACCUCAGUUAGGUUGUGAACAAGUCCCUUCAAAGAAUUUUAUCAAGUGUUAAUUGGUCAGAAAAAACAUUAUGAGAGAGAUCAAGUGAAACCAAUUUUGACGAGUGGGAGAUUUGGGAUGGGACUUUUCCUGCAAAUAACGUUUCUGAGAUGUUAAGAUACACCAGGCUUGUAAACCGGCCGAACUCGGAUGGAAUUUUGGAAAGAUUAAAAUCAUUGUAGGCAAGGUUGAAUUUUUGAAGGUGAGGAAGAAGGAAGAGAGUGGUAUUGGAAGGGAAGUUGCCAUAUAGACAACUGCAGCUCAAGUCAAGGGCAAUAUAUAACUUGAGCAUUUAGGUGGUCACAAGUGACCCCAUCCCAUGAGCAGCAAUCUGUACCCUCAUUCCAUGAAUUUGUCCUGGGAUAAGAUUUAUGGCCAUCAAUCUCAUUGCUAUAAGAAGAAGCAUACUCUGUUAUGGAAAAAGAGUCCUUAAACUGGAUUAGUGAAGAGCAGGAGUGAGAUCCUGAAGAAGAAAAAGAAGCAUAAAGAUGGGGAAAGGUUAAGGUAGAAUAGGCUUGUAAACCGACCGAACUCGGAUGAAAUUUUGGAAAGAUUAAAAUCAUUGAAGGCAAGGUUGAGUUUUUGAAGGUGAGGAAGAAGGAAGAGAGUGGUAUUGGAAGGGAAGUUGCCAUAUAGCCAACUGCAGCUCAAGUCAAGGGCAAUAACUUGAGCAUUAAGGUGAUGACAAGUGACCCCACACCAUGAGCAGCAAUCUGUACCCUCCUUCCAUGAAUUUGUCUUGGGAUAAGAUUUAAGGCCGGCAAAAUCAUCGCAACACAAAGCAGCAUGGCCUGUCUGAGUGAUCGAAAAUGAAUUCUUGAACUGGAUUAGAGAAGCAGCUUCGUGGUGAGAGCAGGAGUGAGAUCCUGAAGAAGAAGAAGCAUAAAGAUGGGGAAAGAAGAGGAAUAGGCAGAGAGAGAGAUAGGGGCCAUGUUAUGUUUGUAGAGGAAGAUGAAGGAUAGGAAUGGUAUUUAUAGGCAACAAAUAGAAUCCAAUAUUAAACAAAAGAUUUGAUGAUUAAUACCACAACACCACUGUUACAGUGUUGUUUCUUUUAUGGUAUAAAGAUUGUUAUUGGAAGAGUUUGAAAUGCUGACAUUGAAAACCUAUAUUUUUCAAUACUCAUCAACAACCACUUCCUUUUUACCAUAUCUUUUUCAUUCCCAAAAUUGGAUACAUUGUUUUACCAAAAUUUUGUAUUUCAUUUGAACUCCCUAAACAACUGAGAAAAUUAACAUUGAUGAGAUUACAAAGUAGAUUGACUUAGUCUUCUUCCUUAUAAUAGGUAAAAAAAAAAUGUGAGUGUCUAUUCACUUAUAAUAUUUCCAUGCUAGAGGUAGUUUUUGGAAAAUCUUUAAUUAAAUCUUAAUUUCAUUUUGUUAAAAUUUUAAACUGGGUUAUCGAAUUGGCUUCUGAUUGUAGGUUGAUCAAUGAUGGGCCGAUUUCUUCUUCUUCUUUUUUAAUUUUUUUAGGGUUAAUUUAUAAUAUACUGCUUAAUGUUGUUGAUUUAUUUUUCUGGUCAUCGUUUCAUCCGUUUGUUGAAGAUAACUGAAUUUUUAUUGGUUGUAAUUGGACUUGGGUUUUAGCCAAUGACUAUAAUCAAAGGGUUAAUUUAAGGUUCCAAUGAAUUGUUUGAAAAUUUUAUUAUUUUUCUUUUCAAUUAGUUGUUUUACAAGGAUUUAACUUAUAUUAGUCAAAUGAACUGGCUUUAAAAAAUGAACAAGAACGAAGAAAUUGGAUGGUUAACUGGACACUGGAAAGGGGGAAUGCUAAAAGUUGUAAAUGUUUUGAAUAUAGAGUUGUAUUCUUUUCAUGGCUUCAGAAAAAUGUAUGCAAUGUUUGGCCAGCGAUAAUGGACAAGUUUUUUUAAACCUCCAUGCCUUAGUCAUGCUUUCAUAAACAUGGGCAGCUAACACCGAGAAGUCUCAUUGAAUGUAGUAAGCGAUUUAAAAGUGAAGCUCAUAUGCGACCGGGGAUGGUUGAUUUGAGGUUUAAUUCUAGCUAGUAGAUUCUGUUGUUUGUUAAGCGUCUUUUUGGAGACAAAUGUCUGAGAUUGCUGGAAAAUGCUUCUUACCAUCAUAUUAAUGUGUAUUUGGGUUGCGUUUUCUUAGAGUUUUGGAUUCUUUGCAUCAUAUCAUAAAAUUGAGUUAGAUAUAACAUCUCAUUGUUAUCUGUUAAUUGUUUCACUUGGGACCAGGAGCAUGCUGGCAACUCAAUACAGCUGUAAAUGCAUAUUUCAGUGAGGGUGAUAGGUAUAUAUUUAUGAAUUAUCCUAAUAUUUUUUAUGAUAAGUAAUUCUAGGUUUAUAGCUUUAUUUGUUUGUUUGUUUUCUCGUGUUUCCUACAAAAAAAGGCCAACAUCAACCAUAGUUCCUGUAGAUGAUGCCAUGGAUAUAGAUGAUCCAAAUGAAGUAGUACCAAAUGGGCCAGUCCUUCCAUUUCUACCAUCAUCUAGAACAAACGAACAAUCGUCUCUUUUUCUGAAAUUUCCGGCGCGACGCCUGUGCGGGGGGCCUUGGCCGGAAUCUGGACUUAGUCCAGAGAGUUUUUUUUUCUUUCUUCUGUUUUUUUUUUUCAAUGUUCAAAUGAUUUUUUUUCUCAAAACACUAAUUUUUAUGCCCAGUGAAACGGCGCCGUUUUGGCUAAGCUCCAAAACACCCAAAACGACGUCGUUUCACUCGCCACCAACUUGAAUUUUAUAACUACUCCUAUGCCAACCAGCAAACCAUAACAGCGUACAUAAAAAAGAGGAUGCUGACUUACAAUUCCUUUCAUUUCACCAUAACCAAUCAAAUCCCUUGCAAUGCUGUUUGGAUCACAGCAGCUCAUCUUUCAAUCCUAGAUGGCUCCGCUAAUUUUUUGAAAGCAUACAUAAACUGUUAAAGAAAUAAAUGGAUAAAACAACUACAGGAUAGAAGGCUGAAAAAUUACAAAGUGCAAUGACCUUAUUGUUAAAAUUUCAACGCCCAUUCCUUGGAAAGAUAUCUUCACCAUUGCCCACUCAAGAGAACUCAAAUAGCAGCAAGAUCUAGUAUAAAAUGUAACUCUCAACAACACACACAAAUGUUUGUUCUAUCAAGGAGCAAUACACAGACAUAUUCACCUACCCUUGGUUCUAGCUUUGCAUAUUACAUAACACUCUUCAAAUGUCUUAUUAAAUUCUCACUUUUACGAGUGCUAUGAUAAUCAAAUAAAAUUCAAUUCAAUUUUAAGUUCCAUAUAACACUUACAUGGCUACAAAAUGUGUGUGUGUUUAAGUGUCGACAACCACAAACAAUCCAAAUUUGCAGAGAAACCACCCAUUAUAUAUAGGUUUGCCAAUGAGAUGGCAAGCAGAUUGCUAGCUAGAAAUUCAUGCAUCUUUGAAUCACCAGUUCAAUUAAUAAGCUUAAGUAGAGGAAAUAGGGACUUUACAUCCACCAAUUAAAGCAACCUAUAUGUACCCUUUUACAGUCUGCAUUGUUCCAUGUUUCAAUUCAUUACAUCAUUCCUUCAACUCUGCUAUAUAUUAUUACCGUCUCCAGAUAACCAAACCUUUUACUGCUAACUUGUAAAAAAAUUAUGAAAAUACAACAGAGAUCAUUGAGACAUUGUUGAAGUUGGCUUGCAUGCAGAGCAAGAAGCAGACCAAGCUGUCCGAGCCAUGCAAGUUGCAGCUGAAGCUUAUGCUGCUGUUUUGUUACUUUCAAAUAGAUAUUUUAUUACUUAGUUAGAUAUGAACUAAGUUGUUGAUAUGCUUGAUGUGAUUAGGUGCUGAUAGAUUGAUAAAUCAGCUUUACCAAGUGUACAAGCAAUGUUUAUCAAGUUACUAAGCCACUUAGUGGAGUUAGGCACGUGUUUAGGUAACAUUUUCUUAUUUUUGACCAGCUGAUUGCUCGGUAUAUGUAAUGGAAUUGUGCCUUCAUUUGGUCUUUACUUAAGCAUUUUUAUUCAAAAAGCUCUUGCUGUUUUUGUUUUGUUUGUUGUGCAAGAUAUCAAUGCUUUAUGCUUAAGUUUCUGUCAAAAUUUCUCAUUCUGUUUUCUUAGUUCCUACAGACAUUUUGUUCUCCUUUCUCCUUUACUGAGCAGUAGCAAAGAUUAUUGAGACUAAAUUGAAAUCCAUGAAAGAAGACAUAAACAACACCACCAUACAAAAUGUCACACUCAAACAAACCAUUACAGAUAGUACGAAAUGCAAUGAAAGACAGAGGAAUUGGUACAAUAAUAAAGACAGCCAGAUACCAAUGCAACCCUUCACCAUAGGCACAACGGUCUACAAACAAGAAAUUAUGAAAAAUACAACACUAAUUCUUGAACAUCAUUUGCAGUAAUUAGAUCCUUCUUCGUCUACUGCUGCGAUUGCCUUUCUUUGACUUUCUUCUUCGCCUCUUCUCAUGUUGGUUUUCAACCAAAUUCACCAACCAUUUUGGCUUUCCAGUUUGGAAAACAACAUAUCCCACGGACAUUCCGAACACUACUCCGCAUCCACAACCUAUCAUCACCACUUUCCAACCAAAAGCAAUGUUUGAUUUUGAGCCAUCUUUUUCAAGCACAUUUGGAGGUGGUGGGUCAAUGAUGUUGCAACCUUUCGAGACCGGAAACCCACACAGUCCCUUAUUUCCUUCAUAUGAAUCAUUUCCAAAUGUGUUGAAUUGUUUGCCUUGGGGAAUCUUACCAUGGAGUUGAUUUUCAGAAACAUUUAAGGACGAAAGAAACGGCAGAUCUGCCAAUCUAUUUGGAAUCGCCCCAGACAACCUGUUUGAAGAUAGGUCCAACCAUUCAAGACUUGUCAAAUUCCCUAUUGAUGUGGGGAUACCACCAUUAAGGUUAUUAUGAGAAAGGUUGAGCCCUUUCAGUAAGUUAAGCUUCCCAAUAACCUUUGGAAUACCCCCUUCAAACUGAUUGUUUGAUAGAUCAAUGAUCAUCCACAUGGUGAAAAUUUUCACCAAUUCCCUAUCUUGUCCUUUCAUAACAAUUCCAAUGGAAUAGGUAUAGAAGUCACCUCCAUCAUCAUUCACCCCCAUGUACGACACUGUACUACCAAUCUUCUCUAGAUUUAUGAUAGCCUUGAAGCUGUUGAUGUAUCUCACUGGUAGGGGUCCAGAAAAAUAAUUACUUGAGAGAUCAAAAAUUUGGAUUUUAGAGAAAAAAGGGAUAGACUUGGAGCUAUUGACACAUAAGGAACCAUGCAAUUGAUUUGACUUCAAUACAAGAACUUGUAGCCGUGGAAGACUUCCCAACCAAUGAGGAAAUGUAUCAUUGAUCUUGUUGUUACCAAGAUCUAGCACUUCCAGACCAUUACAAUUAAGGAUGGAUGGUGUCAAAGGCCCUUCUAACAGAUUUCCAUUUAAGUUGAAAUUACUCAAUUGGCAUCCCAUUGCAAAUGUUGGAGGAAUCGUCCCAUAGAACUUGUUCUUCUUCAGAUUCAAGAAUAGAAGGCUGUUGCUCAAAUUUCCAAAACAUUGUGGAAUUGUUCCACUCAAGUUAUUGUGGGACAAAUCAAGAAUUUCAAGAAAAGCGGCAUUGCAUAUUAAAGAAGAGACCUCUCCAUUGAAACUAUUAUUAGAGAUCAAAAAGACAUUGAUGGUCGAAGCUGGAAUCGGAAGAUUUCCACUGAUCAAAUUGGAGCUUAAGUCAAGAACGUCAAUAUUCUUCCAUGGAAAGUGCUCAACUUCUGUCAAAGAGUUGUGAGAUACGUUUAAGUAAGUCAAAGAGUCAUUCCCCACCUCUUGCAUCCACUGUGGAAUCUUGCCUUCAAUUUUGUUGUAAGAGAGGUCUAAGCUUUCCAAACUUUUAAGCCCUUUUAAAAAUUGGGGGAAUUCACUAAGAUUGCAAGAUGACAAAAACAACCUUGUAAGAUUAACAGUAGAAGUAGUAUUAGAUGUUAAGGAUAGGCUGUUAUAUGAAAGGUCAAGAGAUUCGAGAUUUGGAAGGUUUGAGAACAUGCGAAACUCUAUGACACCACUAAGAUAAUUUGAGGAUAAGCUAAGUUGGGUAAGAUUGAGAAGUUGGAAUAUUGAAGAUGGAAGAGGACCUUGGAGUUUAUUAUUCUCUAACGCUAUCCAUUCUAGUGAUUUGGAUUGGAAUUCUUUGAUAUGCCCACUGAAUUGAUUUUGAGAGAGUUUUAUAUCCUUUAAGGAGGGAGCAGUAUACAACCAUGAUGGAAGUUGUCCACUGAGUAAAUUGUUAGUUAAGUCUAAAGAUAUUAGAUUAGGAAAAGCGGUUACCUCAUCUGGAAUAGAACCUUUUAAUGUAUUUCCAGCUAUUCUCAAGUAUUCCAGCUGCGUUAGGUUUAGAAUUGACAAUGGAAUUUGUCCAUUCAAUUGGUUCUGCCACAAGCCUAAAUAAGUGAGUUGCAAGAGGUUCCCCAAUGAUCUUGGAAUUUGUCCACUCAAUUGGUUUUGCCACAAGCCUAAAUAAGUGAGUUGCAAGAGGUUCCCCAAUGAUCUUGGAAUUUGUCCACUCAACUGGUUCCCCGAUAAGUCUAAAUGAGUGAGUUGCAAGAGAUUCCCCAGUGAUUUUGGAACCGGUCCUGAUAAGUUGGAAUAGGAGAGAUCUAAAAACUUCAAGGACACAAGAUUACCCACCGAGUCUGGCAAUCCUCCAAAAAAAUUUGCGCCUGAAAUUAUCAAUUGCUCCAAAGAUGAUAAAUUUGUGAUUGAGACAGACAAUCCUUGAAAGAAAAAAUUUCCUGAUAGACCUAAGGACUUUAAGGCCUGUAGAUUAUCAACUGAAUCAAUGAAUUCUGUAGAGAAGGACGUCCAUGACAGAUCCAAAUGUUCAAGAUUGCUGCUCCGAUUCAACUUCAAAGGAUCAAGAUUGAGGUUUUGGUUGUUUCCCAAGUUGAGGAGAUUGAGGUUUGGCAAAUCAAAAAUGUUGUUUGGGAAUUUUCCUUGCAAAUCACAACCAGCAAGACUGAGAGACCUUAGAGAAGAGGAUAGAUUCAUGAAGACAUGAGCAUUAACAGAAGCCAUCUCCAUUCCAUCCAAAAACAGAUGUCUGACCUCGGUUAGGUUUUGAACAAGUCCCUCCAGAGCAUGUUUGUCUCCUACAAACCCUGUACUGGAAAGGUCGAGGUAGAGUAGGCUUGUAAACCGACCUAACUCGGAUGGAAUUUCGGAAAGAUUAAACUCAUUGUAGGCAAGGUUGAGUUUUUGAAGGUGAGGAAGAAGGAAGAGAGUGGAAUUGGAAGGGAAGUUGCCAUAUAGCCAACUGCAGCUCAAGUCAAGGGCAAUAACAUGAGCAUUUAGGUGGUCACAAGUGACCCCAUCCCAUGAGCAGCAAUCUGUACCCUCCUUCCAUGAAUUUGUCUUGGGAUAAGAUUUAUGGCCAGCAAUCUCAUUGCAAUAAGAAGAAGCGUCCUCUGUUAUGGAAAAAGAGUCCUUAAACUGGAUUAGUGAAGAGCAGGAGUGAGAUCCAGAAGAAGAAAAAGAAGCAUAAAGAUGGGGAAAGAAGAGGAAUAGGCAGAGGAAGAGAUAGGGGGCCAUGUUAUGUCUGUAGAGGAAGAUGAAGGAUAGGAAUGGUAUUUAUAGGCAACAAAUAAUACCGCAGUGUUACAGUCUUUUUUUCUUUUACAUUGAGAAGCUAUGGAGAUUAGAUUUUCAAAAUUUUUGUAUUUUUAACAAUCAUCAACAGUCACUUAGUCUUCUUUUUACCAUAUAUUUUUCAUUCUUAAAAUUGGAUGCUAUCUUUUCGCAAAAUCUUGUGGAAAUUCUUUAGCCUUCUUCUCUAUAACACUUAAAGAAUGUGUGUAUGUAUUCAUUUGCCUGUCAACUAAAGCUAAUUAAUGUGGAAAUUCUUUUCCACCCAAAAGAACAAAAUUGUGCUCUAUUCAUUAAGUUUGAGGAAGAAGAUUGCUGGAAAUUUAAUCUACCGAUUCCAUAAAAAACGUGUAUACUUAUAUAACCUCAUAAUUCAAAUCUAAAAUCUCAUUUGUUAUAAAUUCUGAUAAAUUUCUUUGGAAUUGCUAUUUUUCAUUUGUUAAUUAUUUCUCUUUUAAUCGAGUAAAAAAUUAAAACUAAAAAGACAUAAUGAUUUAUUUGGCAUUUUUAAACUUUACAAAUAAAAAAUCAUUUUAGCUUUUCAUUUUUUUAUCUCUAUUAAAUCACCCAAAAAAAAUAAUGAAAAAGACUAACAAAACUAGCACCUACGUGGCUGAUGUUGACCCUUAGUAGUUAAUGACAACAUCUACGUAGUUGUUAACAGAUACCACACUAACACUGUUUGUUGACGUGACAAUGCCACAUGAUCAAUAAUCACCGACAUGGUAGCGCCACGCUAUCGCCCAUUGGUGACAUAUUGAUGUUUGAGUUAAACUCAAAUUACUAUUUCCUUUGUUAUAAAUUAAGAGUAUAACUAAUUUUGAUAAGAAUGAUUACUUUUCAUUAACUCAGUCUAAAGGACUAUAACACGUAAAGUUUGGCCUAUUGCAGAAUUCACAUGCAAUGCGGGGCAUUUACAUUAUGCAGAAUUCGGCACAUAUAUGGGAAUUUUUGUAUUUCCACAAUCAUCAUGUUGUUCGUGAUCAACAACUACUUCCUUUUUACCAUAUAUUUUUCAUUCAUAAAAUUGAUUACUUUUUUUUUUACGAAAGAAGUAAAAUUAUUAACAUUCAUGAUAUUACAAAGCCUUCUUCCUUAUAACACGUCAAGUUUGGCCCCAAAUAAUUUUCCAGACAAAAGAAUUAAGAGGAAGGAGACUGCUACAGAUUGACUAUACUUUUAACUCCACAAACAAAGACUAAGACUAUCAAUUGUCUAUUGACUACACUUUAACUCGACAAAAACAGAUUGACUAUACUUUUAACUCCACAAACAAAGACUAAGACUAUCAAUUGUCUAUUGACUUCACUUUAACUCGACAAAAACAGACUAAUAAGACUUUGGUUGGCUGUAAUGGGCUAUUGACUAUACUUUAACUCCGCAAAAAAAGACUAAGGCUAUCAAUUGUCUAUUGACUUCACACUUGCUGUUGCUUCCUCCUAUCUCUAUCACUUGCUUCCUCCUAUCUCUAUCACCCAAACUUAAUUUACAAGCAAUGUGGAAAUUUUGGACAUUUGGGCCACAAUGUACAAUACUUCCACACCAUUUGCAGUAUUGACUACGUUUACUUGAGGGCAAACAAAGACAUGAAUGCUGGAAAUUUUAACUAGUUUGUACCGUCAAUGAAGCUACGUACCUAAAAGCAAUGUAUUAUCACCGUCUCCAGAAAUUUUGCUAAUUCAAUUUCCCAAGAAAUAUGAUUAAUUUUGGUUAAAUUGGAGUGAACAUUACUAUUUCUGUUUUAGCAAUUAAAGCAACCUAUAUGUACCCUUUUACAGUCUGCAUUGUUCCAUGUUUCCAUUCAUUACAUCAUUCCUUCAACUCUGCUAUAUAUUAUCACCGUCUCCAGAGAACCAAACCUUUUACUGCUAACUUGUAAAAAAAUUAUGAAAAUACAACAGAGAUUAUUGAGACAUUGUUGAAGUUGGCUUGCAUGCAGUAGACAUUGUUAAUCUUAUUAUUAUUAUUAUUAUUAUUAACUCAUGAACCCAUGGUUACACUUCCAACAGAGGUGAGAGAGGUUAAGAGUAGCCAUGAGCCAUCUAGUCAUGCUCCUGUUGUUGAGGAUGCCUCUGAAACUGCACAAGCUCUCAGCCCGAAUUCAAAUCUAAAAUCUCAUUUGUUAUAAAUUCUGAUAAAUUUAUUUGGGAAUUGCUAUUUUUCAUUCGUUAAUUAUUUCUCUUUUAAUCGAGUAAAAAAUUAAAACUAAAAAGACAUGAUAAUUUACUUGGCAUUUUUUAACUUUACAAACAAAUAGUCAUUUUAGCUUUCCAUUUUUUUUUUCUCUUUUAGCCUUGAAACUUAUAUGGUUCCUUAAAUCACUCCAAAAAAAAUGAUGAAAAAGACUAACAAAUUCUAGCACCUACGUGGCUGAUGUUGACCCUAGUAGUUAAUGGCAACACCUACGUAGUGGUUAACAGAUACCACACCAACACUGUUUGUUGACGUGACAAUGCCAAAUGGUCAAUAAUCGCUGACAUGGUAGCGCCACGCCAUCGCCCAUUGAUGACAUGUUAACCUUUGAGUUAAACUCAAAUUACUCUUUCCUUUGUUAUAAAUUAAGAGUAUAAAUAAUUCUGAUAAGAAUAGUUACUUUUCAUUAACUCAGUUUAAAGGACUAUAACACGUAAAGUUUGGUCUAUUGCAGAAUUCACAUGCCAUGCGGGACGUUUACAUUAUGCAGAAUUCAACACAUAUAUGGGAAUUUUUGUAUUUCCACAAUCAUCAAAUAAUUUUCAUAAAUUGAUUACUUUCUUUUUACCAUAUAAUUUUCAUUCAUAAAUUGAUUACUUUUUUUUUACAAAAGAAGUAAAAUAAUUAAUAUUCGUGAGAUUACAAAGUCUUCUUCCUUAUACACGUCAAGUUUGGUCUCAAAUAAUUUUCCACACAAAAGAAUACUUUUAACAAUCAAUUGUCUAUUGACUAUACUUUGAACUCCACAAAAAAGACUAAGACCUUCAAUUGUCUAUUGACUACACUUUAACUCGACAAAAAAAGACUAAGACUAUCAAUUGUCUAUUGACUAUCAAUUGGUUCCAUGACAAGUCUAAAUAUAUGAGCCACAAGAGGUUCCCCAAUGAUCUCGAAAUUGAUCCCCGUAAAUUGGAAUUAGAGAGAGACAAAUAUUUCAAGACAUGCAGGUUGUCAAUCAAAUCAAUCAAUUUCGUAAAGGAGGACAUCCAUGACAGAUCCAAAUGUUCAAAAUUACUGCUCUGAUUGAACUUCAGAAGAUCAAGACUAAGGAUUCGGUUGUAUCCUAAGUUGAGCAAAUUGAGGUUUGGCGAAUGAAGAAUGUUUCUUGAGAACUUUCCUUGCAAAUCACAACCACCAAGACUGAGAGACUUUAUAGAAGAGGAUAGAUUCAUGAAAACAUUAGGAUUAAUAGAAGGCAUGAUAAUUCUAACAAGAAAAAGAUGUGUCACCUCAGUUAGGUUGUGAACAAGUCCCUCCAAAGAAUUUUAUCAAGAGUUAAUUGGUGAGAAAAAACAUUAUGAGAGAGAUCAAGUGAAACCAAAUUUGACGAGUGGGAGAUUUGGGAUGGGACUUUUCCUGUAAAUAACGUUUUUUAGAUGUUAAGAUACACCAGCCUUGUAAACCGACCGAACUAGGAUGGAAUUUUGGAAAGAUUAAAAUCAUUGUAGGCAAGGUUGAGUUUUUGAAGGUGAGGAAGGAGGAAGAGAGUGGUAUUGGAAGGGAAGUUGCCAUAUAGCCAACUGCAGCUCAAGUCAAGGGCAAUAACAUGAGCAUUAAGGUGAUGACAAGUGACCCCAUACCAUGAGCAGCAAUCUGUACCCUCCUUCCAUGAAUUUGUCUUGGGAUAAGAUUUAAGGCCGUCAAAAUCAUCGCAAUACAAAGCAGCAUGGUCUGUCUGAGUGAUCGAAAAUGAAUUCUUGAACUGGAUUAGAGAAGCAGCUUCGUGGUGAGAGCAGGAGUGAGAUCCUGAAGAAGAAGAAGCAUAAAGAUGGGGAAAGAAGAGGAAUAGGCAGAGAGAGAGAUAGGGGCCAUGUUAUGUUUGUAGAGGAAGAUGAAGGAUAGGAAUGGUAUUUAUAGGCAACAAAUAGAAUCCAAUAUUAAACAAAAGCUUUGAUGAUUAAUACCACAACACCACUGUUACAGUGUUGUUUCUUUUAUGGUAUAAAGAUUGUUAUUGGAAGAGUUUGAAAUGCUGACAUUGAAAACCUAUAUUUUUCAAUACUCAUCAACAACCACUUCCUUUUUACCAUAUCUUUUUCAUUCCCAAAAUUGGAUACAUUGUUUUACCAAAAUUUUGUAUUUCAUUUGAACUCCCUAAACAACUGAGAAAAUUAACAUUGAUGAGAUUACAAAAUAGAUUGACUUAGUCUUCUUCCUUAUAAUACGUAAAAAAAAAUGUGAGUGUCUAUUCACUUAUAAUAUUUCCAUGCUAGAGGUAGUUUUUGGAAAAUCUUUAAUUAAACCUUAAUUUCAUUUUGUUAAAAUUUUUAACUGGAUUAUCGAAUUGGCUUCUGAUUGUAGGUUGAUCAAUGAUGGGCUGAUUUCUUCUUCUUCUUUUUUAAUUUUUUUAGGGUUUAUAAUAUACUGCUUAAUGUUGUUGAUUUAUUUUUCUGAUCAUCGUUUCAUUCGUUUGUUGAAGAUAACUGAAUUUUUAUUGGUUGUAAUUGGACUUGGGUUUUAGCCAAUGACUAUAAUCAAAGGGUUAAUUUAAGGUUCGAAUGAAUUAUUUGAAAAUUUUAUUAUUUUUCUUUUCAAUUAGUUGUUUUACAAGGAUUUAACUUAUAUUAGUCAAAUGAACUGGGUUUAAAAAAUGAACAAGAACGAAGAAAUUGGAUGGUUGACUGGACACUGGAAAGGGGAAAAGCUAAAAGUUGUAAAUGUUUUGAAUAUAGAGUUGUAUUCUUUUCAUGGCUUCAGAAAAAUGUAUGCAAUGUUUGGCCAGCGAUAAUGGACAAGUUUUUUUAAACCUCCAUGCCUAAGUCAUGCUUUCAUAAACAUGGGCAGCUAACACCGAGAAGUCAGUAAGCGAUUUAAAAGUGAAGCUCAUAUGCGUCAUUGCUACUCGCUUUGCAGCUAAACUCCUGAGUGACCGGGGAUGGUUGAUUUGAGGUUUAAUUCUAGCUAGUAGAUUCUUAGGUUUGUUAAGGGUCUUUUUGGAGACAAAUGUCUGAGAUUGCUGGAAAAUGCUUCUUACCAUCAUAUUAAUGUCUAUUCGGGUUGCGUUUUCUUAGAGUUUUGGAUUCUUUGCAUCUUAUCAUAAAAUUGAGUUAGAUAUAACAUGUCAUUGUUAUCUGUUAAUUGUUUCACUUGGGACCAGGAGCAUGGUGGCAACUCAAUACAGCUGUAAAUGCAUAUUUCAGCGAGGGUGAUAGGUAUAUAUUUAUGAAUUAUGCUAAUAUUUUGUUAUGAUAAGUAAUUCUAGGUUUAUAGCUUUAUUGGUUUGUUUGUUUUCUCAUGUUUCCUACAAAAAUAAGGCCAACAUCAACCAUAGUUUCUGUAGAUUAUGCCAUGGAUAUAAAUGAUCCAAAUGAAGUUGUACCAAAUGGGCCAGUCCCUUCCAUUUCUACCAUCAUCUAGAACAAACGAACAAUCGUCUCUUCAUCAUCGAAACUUCCAUAGCAGUUUCUUCGAUGGUGAUUCUGGUUCAACUUAUGAACCAAUUGAUACAUAUCCAACAGAGGUGAGAGGGGUUAAGUAUAGCCAUGAGCCAUCUAGUCAUGCUCCUGUUGUUGAGGAUGCCUCUGAAACUGCACAAGCUCUCGGCCCGAAUUCCCAUGAGACUGUUACAAUUGGUGAAGUAGGUGACGAUUCAAUUGCGCAGCCAAGGUGGCAGAAUGAUAACUGUAACAACCAGCAUGUUACACCCAGCGCUCCUGCCUUUGAUAAUUUGCUAGACUAUGGCGAUGACAUUGAAGAACAAAUGAUUCAAGCUGCCAUUGAGGCCUCUAAGCGGGAUGCUGAGGCAAGUUUUAAAAAAAGGACGCUUCCAAUUUGAUAGUGUUGUGGUGCCCUUCAUUCUUGUAGUUGCUGUAAAUGCUUGUUUUACAGAUUGCCUUUUUCAUGUUUAAAGUGUUAAAGUGUUGCAAAUUGAAGUGUUUUAAGUAAUGCAAAUUGAAUUGUUUAGUUGCUGGAAAUUGAGAUGUUUUAUGGCCGUAAUUGAGUGUAUAAAUGUUGUAAAUUGAAGUGUUUUAUUGCUGGAAAUUGGAUGCAUGGUAUAAUGACAUGAUAGAAUGUCAUUACAAUGUUGUAACUUUUUGAUGUUGUAAAAUCAUAUGGAUUAUGACAUCUAAACUAAUGAAAUCGUGUAACUUUUUAUUAAUAUAUGAAUAUUAUGUUGGGAUGUGAAAUAUAAUUCUCAAGUUAUUUAUUACUUCUAAUAUCUAAUAUUUCAUUGUAGAAUAAUUAAAAUUAUUUGUUUCACUAAUGAUAUUUUAGCACAUUCAAUAUCUAUUGCAGUUUAAAAAUAAUAAUUUAGAUUAUAUAUUAUUUUUAUAGUAUUAUAUAUUAUGAUUUUAGUAAAUUCAUAUAAUAGUAAUUAUAUUAAGAAUUUUAUUAAAUUAUAUUUAAUAAUAAUUAUGUUAAAAUAUGGUUAAAUUAUUUAUUAUCUUUAUUAAAUUAUUUUUAAUAAUAAUCUUUUUAAAAUUUAAUAACAAUAACAAAAAUCAUCUACUUAAAAAAGAUUCUGCUAAGGGUAUUCUAGUCAUUUUAGUUUUUUCCUUAUGCAAUUACAACAUCAUUCCAUUCAACCAAACACAAGAAUACCAUUACAGUUCUAUUCCGUUCCAUUCAACCAAACAAUUGAAUUACUGAUUACAGCUCUAUUCCAUUACAGUGAACCAAAUAUAUCCUUAGUAUGAAUGGCUGUCGAGGCAUGUAGAAAUUUGCACACAAAAGAACAAAAUUGUGCACUACUUAAAACUUCAAAGCAUGUGUGGCCUUAAUUUAAUUUUUCAUCUUUUUUAGCCCUUAAACCUACAUUGUUUAUCAGAUGAAAAAAUUAAUAUCUAUUAACUUUGCUAAUGUGCAAGCAUAUGCAACUUCUUUUAAAUCUAAAAAAUAUAAAAAUAAUUAAAUAUGUAUAAAUCUAAAGAUAUCUUAAACUUAAAACUAAAAUUUUUUAAACUAAUGCAAAUUUUUAUUAUUUAAAAAAUCUUAAAAUUUUCAAAUUAAAUUCCAUUUGUUUUCCACCGUUGAAGAACACCUUUAAUCACAACUUCAUGCUGUAUUGCCUAGAAAUUGUUUUGCAAAUUUAUUUUGUUUUAUUUAUUUCUAAACCCAUAUUUCUUUUCUAUAACUCCAAUUAUUAGAUUGUUUAGGGUUUUGAGUAACUUUCGAUUUUGGAAUUUUAGAUUUUUUAAAUUUAAAUAUGAAGUGCUCUUCUUCUUCUCCAAACCCACAAAUUUUUCUGCCAAAUUUCUACUCAAGGUUUUACUUUCAGCUAUAAAUAAAGCGUAUAUUAUAUUUAUAAUGAUCUAAGAAUAGUAGAGUCGAUGCCGAUCUACAUGAAAAAGGAUGAAAAAAAAAGGCAAAGAAUGAUAAUAUGAAGAGAGCAUAAAUCAAUAAAGCAAAUGAAAAACGAGCAGGAUUAAAGUAAAUGGGUAUUUAAUAUUUUUUUGUGAAAGUUCAAAGACUGAUUAUUUAUAAAAUUGGAUGUGGAAAAAUUAGUUGGAAUUUUUUUUCUUACACCAAUUGAUUUUUUAUAUAAAAUUUUUAUUUAUUUUUAAGUGUUGAAACCACUUUUUGAAAACAAAAAAAAAGUGUUACUUUUAUUUUGAAAACGGAAACGAAAAAAUGGGAGUCGCCACCGAUAUUUUUUUUGAGGUGUGAUCGGAUCACCUUAAAACAAUUUUGGUCUACGAAUAAAAAAAUGGGUCCGGGAGUCAAUUACGUAGGAGGAAGGAUUAGCACCCUCAUAACGCCCAAAAUUGAUACCGAAUUGCAUAAUUAAUGUCUUAAAGUCGAAUGUCGAAAAUUCAAAAAGAUUAAAAAUGAUCCCCUUUAAUUAAUGACAUAUUUUUAAACAAUAUUUGUAUAAAUUUGAUCAUAUGUAGAAAGGUCUUCUCAUCCUGAGUCAACAAAAUGUCGUAUCCCAUAAGUUAGGAUGCGACAUUUAGAUUUCCGAGCAUAAUCUAGCCUUUAAAACCCUUUAUUGAAACUUUAUGUAUUUGAAAACUAAAAAUGUUUGACCAUCUUGGUUCAAUGAGGAAAUCGAAAACCCGUAAGUUAGGACAAAUUUCCUCAAAGUUCCAAAGACGAUAUAUACGUUUGCCUUUAUUUAAAAAAAAAAGAUACUCGGUUACUUAAAUUCAACGAGGAAAAUUGGAGCCUAAUAAGUUAGGGCACAAUCUUCUCGAAAAUAUUGGAUACCGGGUAUUACGUUAUUUUGAAAACUUUGAAUAAAAUGAUUUCAAUACUUUGACUAAACGCAACAUUUUAAAUGAAUAAAAUGCGAUGGAACAAUAACGUAUAACGCGAAGUGAUAAUUCGUAAACUAAAAUAUACGCUAAUGAUCGACAAAGAAUCAAUGAAUACGAGUAAGCAAUACAAUACAUCAUAUAAGAGCAACAAUCUCAUAUCCCACAUUAUGCAAAUACUAACAUCCAUUUUAGCAAGCUAAAUGAAUUAAAAGUUAAUUAAAGAACAGCAAGCAAAUUAAUGUAAAUCUAAUAUAACAAGCUUUAAAAUAAAAUAAAAAUAAAAAUCAUGAAAAAGAGGAAAAUUCAAACACUAAAUUGUAUGUAUAAAAUAUUUGGCACAAAUAAUAUAUAGGAAAACUUGCAAUAAAAAAAUGAAGAAAAUAAAGAAUAAAUAAGAUGCAAAAUAAUACAUGUUCAUCUAAAUAAGUAGUACAUAUAAAAUAAAAUUUUAAUAUAAAUGUUGAAAUAAACAAAGCGUGUAAUUGAACAUCAUUUCCACUAACUAGAUCCUUCUUCGUCAACUGCUGCGAUUGCCUUUCUUUGACUUUCUUUUUCGCCUCUUCUCAUGUUGGUUUUCAACCAAAUUCACCAACCAUUUCGGUUUUCCAGUUUGGAAAACAACAUAUCCCACCAACAUUCCGAACACUACUCCGCAUCCAUAACCUAUCAACACCACUUUCCAACCAAAAGUAAUGUUUGAUUUUGAGCCAUCUUUUUCAAGCACAUCUGGAGGUGUUGGCGCAAUGAUGUUGCAACCUUUCGAGACCGGAAACCCACAUAUGAAUCAUUUCCAAAUGUGUUGAAUUGUUUGCCUUGAGGAAUCUGACCAUGGAGUUGAUUUUCAGAAACAUUUAAGGACAAAAGAAAUGGCAGAUCUACCAAUCUAUUUGGAAUGGUUCCAGACAACCUGUUUGAAGAUAGUGUUGGCACAUAAUUAAAUUAACCUUGCACAAAUAAAUUAUGAAAAGUUAGAAGAGUGAAGAGACUUGAAUAUGAAAAGUGAAAAAACUUGAAUAUGAAUAGUGAAGAGACUUGAAGAUGAAAAGUUAAGAGGCUUGAAUAUGAAAAGAUACACACAUGCAUGAAUAGUCACAACUCCUAGCAUAUAGUGAUAUAGAUGAAUAGUCACUUACAACUCCUAUAUAAAGAGUUGUAUGUGAUGAAGAAUUAUUAACUUUGUGUGCUUGAAAUAAAAGAUUAUUUGAAAGAAUUUUUUCAUACAAAAUUUAUUUCUCUUCUCCAUUAUAUUCUUUAUCAUUUUCUUUGUUUUAUUUCUCCAAAUAUUAAUCAUUCAACUACAAAUUGGUAUCAAAGCCUUGUUCAAUCGAAAUGAACAAUUCUAUUCCUCUUUCUUCCGUUCCCCAAUUAACCAAAGAAAAUUAUGGCAAAUGGAGUAUCCAAAUGAAGGCUCUUCUUGGAUCUCUAGAAGUUUGGGAGAUUGUUGAAAAAGGUUAUAAUGAAGUUGAGGGUGAAGAGGAGGAAGGAUUAACACAAGUUCAAAAAGAGAGUCUAAGAAAAUCAAGGAAGAAAAAUCAGCAAGCCUUAUUUUGGAUAUAUCAAGGAGUUCAAUCAUAUGAAGCGGCUUGGGAAAAAAUAGCUUGUGCCACCACGGCAAAACAAGCAUGGGAAUUUUUACAAAAUUCAUUCAAAGGAGAUGAAAAGGUGAAAAGAGUUCGGUUGCAAACUCUUUGAGGAGAGUUUGAAAGAUUGCAAAAAAUAGAGUCAGAAUCAGUUUCUGAUUACUGUUCACGGGUUUUGUCCAUAGUCAAUCAAUUAAAAAGAAAUGGUGAAACUAUGGAUGAUAUUCGUGGUGUUGAGAAAAUCCUCCGUUCUUUAGAUUCCAAAUUUGACUACAUUGUGGUUGCCAUAGAAGAAUCAAAGGACUUGAGUACCAUGACUAUUGAUGAACUCACAGGUUCGUUGCAAGCCCAUGAAGAAAGAUUAAACAAGAAGAAAAAGGAAGUAGAUCUAGAUCAAGCACUUCAGUCAAAGUUGUCUCUAAAUGAGAAUAAGGGAGAUUUUAAAAAUCAAAGAGGGAGAGAUCGUGGUCGUGGAAGAGGAAGAAAUUUUAGAGGAAGAGGCUCAAAUGCUCGUGAAAGAGGUGAAGAUGUAAGCAUGGAGAAUGGAUGGAAAGAAGCCAACCAAAGUCAAAAUUUUAGAGGAUCACAAAGAGGACGUGGACGUAGAAAUCAAAGAGGAAGAGGUCGUGGCUAUUUUGAAUGUUAUAAUUGUCGCAAACCUGGUCAUUUGGCAAGUGAAUGCUGGUACAAAGAAGAAGAGAAAAAUGAAGCUAAUAUAGUACAAAAUAAUCAAGAGCAAAAGCAAGAAACUUUGUUGCUCGUAUCUCAUGGUGGAGAGAUUGAUGAUGUCUGGUACAUAGACAGUGGUGCUAGCAAGCAUAUGACAGGUAACAAAAAUUUAUUUUCGAAGUUCUUUGAAUCUGAUUGUGGAGAAGUAAAAGUAGGAGAUGGCAAAGCUUACAAAGUUAGCGGUGUUGGUGAGUUGGAGUUCAAAACAAAGCAAGGAAGGGUAGAGAAAAUGUCUGAAGUUUAUUUUGUUCCUGGUCUUAAAAAUAAUCUGCUUAGCGUUGGGCAUCUCUUGAAGAAGGGGUAUGAUAUUCAUUUCCGAGACAUGGCUUGCUAUUUAUCAAAGAAAAAUCAGGUUGUUGCUAGAGUUGGAGUGGCAUCAAAUAAUCUUUUCUCUCUUACCCUUCAAAAUCAGAAUAUGUCUUGUUUUAUUGGUGCUCAUAAAGGAAUUUCAAAGUUAUGGCAUGAUAGAUAUGGACAUUUAAACUAUGGAAAUUUGGAGAUGCUUUCAAGGAAGAUGAUGGUUAGAGGUUUACCAAAAAUCGAUCGGCUUGAUGAUGUUUGUGAAGCAUGUCAACUUGGAAAGCAACAUAAAAUUGCUUUUCCUUCUCAAUCCUCGUGGAAAGCAAGAAGACCAUUGCAACUUAUUCACUCAAAUCUUUGUGGUCCAAUGACAGUUUCAUCUUUAGGAGGUAAUCGUUACUUUAUCUCUUUCAUUGAUGAUUACUCAAGAAAGUUAUGGGUGUAUUGUGUCAAAGAAAAAUCAGAGGCUUUUCAGAGAUUCAAAGAUUUCAAGGCAGAAGUGGAGAACUUUACUGGGUUGAAAAUUAACACCUUGCGUACAGAUCGUGGAGGUGAAUAUUUUUCAAAAGAAUUUGAGAAAUAUUGCCGAGAUAGUGGCAUCCGGCAUGAAAUGACAGUCCGCCAUACACCUCAGCAAAAUGGUGUGUGUGAAAGAAAGAACAGAACAAUUAUGGAAAUGGCUAGAUGUCUUCUUAAUAAGAAGAGGUUAUCAAGAAGAUUUUGGGCUGAAGUUGUUUCCUGUGCAGUUUAUCUUAUAAACAGAUCACCGACAAGAAGCUUGGAGAAUUACACACCACAUGAGGCGUGGUAUGGUAUAAAGCCUAGUGUUAGUCAUCUUAGAGUAUUUGGGAGUGUUGCCUACUCUCUAUUCCAGAUGCAAUGAGAAGCAAGUUGGAUGACAAGUCAGAGAAAUGCAUUUUUAUUGGCUAUAGUGAAAGAAGUAAGGCAUACAAGUUGUAUAAUCCGGUGACAAAGAAGAUUGUGAUAAGCCGAGAUGUUCGGUUUGAUGAAAAUUCCAUGUUUGAAGAUAUGGAAGUUGAAAAGGAAAAUUUGCCAAUUUUUCCUUUUGAACUUGAAGAAGAAGAAGAGGCAGUAAUUGAGAAUGCUGAAGAUGAUGCUCAAGUAGAAAAUCCUCCUGCUUCCCCAUGUUCUUCAUCAAAUUCUUCUUCAUCCAGCCCGAUCCGAAAAACGAGAAGCAUCCAAGAGUUAUAUGAUGUAACGGAUGAAGUUGUGCAAAAUGAUGCUGUAUUCUUUGCCUUCUUUGCAGGAGAAGAUCCAAUUUCUUUUGAUGAUGCAUAUCAAGAAGAAAUAUGGAGGAAAGCCAUGAAAUAAGAGAUUUUCUCAAUUGAAAACAAUGAUACAUGGGAACUCACAGAUUUACCGCCGCACAAGAAUUCAAUUGGAGUCAAAUGGGUGUACAAGACAAAGAUGAAUCCGAAUGGCUCUAUCAACAAGUACAAGGCAAGACUGGUUGCAAAAGGAUACAAGCAAAAGGAAGGAGAAGAUUUUACAGAGGUAUUUGCUCCAGUUUCAAGACUUGAGACAGUUCGGUUACUUAUUUCUCUUGCUGCCCAAAAUAAUUGGAAAAUAUUCCAAAUGGACGUAAAAUCUGCGUUUUUGAAUGGUGUUCUCAAAGAAGAAGUCUAUGUUGAUCAACCACCAGGGUUUGUCAAAAAAGGAGAAGAAGAAAAAGUUUACAAGUUGAAGAAAGCUUUGUACGGGUUGAAGCAAUCACCCAGAGCAUGGUACAGCCGCAUCGAUUCUUAUUUUCAGAAGUGUGGAUUCCAGAAAUCUCCAUAUGAGCAUACUCUCUACAUCAAAGGCAAUUAUCAAGGAAGAUUCAUGGUUGUAAGUCUCUACGUUGAUGAUCUUAUUUUCACAGGAAAUGAUGUGAAGAUGUUGAAAGAAUUUCAGCACUCAAUGAUGGCAGAAUUUAAGAUGACAGAUUUGGGAGAACUUCAUCAUUUUCUUGGCAUUGAAGUUCAUCAAUCCGAGAAAGGAAUUUUUAUUUCACAAGAGAGCUACGCAAAGGAAGUUCUAAAAAAAUUCAUGAUGGAAAAUGCGAAUCCAGUCUCUACUCCAUGCAUUACAGGUCUGAAGUUAUCUAAAGAGGGUGAAGGAAAGCUUGUCAAUUCCACCAUAUUCAGAAGUUUGGUUGGGAAGUUGAUGUAUCUGACUUCGACAAGGCCUGAUAUCGUGUAUGUUGUUAGCUUGGUAAGUAGAUUCAUGGAGAAACCUUACUCCAAUCACUGGGAGGCUGCCAAGAGAAUAUUGAGAUAUGUGAAGGGAACCAUUGAUUAUGGAAUUUUCUAUAAAUCUAAUACAUUAGUUGAUCUCAUUGGUUAUACGGAUAGUGAUUUAGCAGGAAGCAUUGAUGAUAGCAGAAGCACUUCUGGUUAUGUUUUUCACCUUGGUAGUGGUGCAGUUUCAUGGAGUUCAAAGAAACAAUCAAUUGUGGCGCUUUCGACUAUAGAAGCUGAAUAUAUCGCUGCAUCUUAUGCAGGAUGUCAAUUGAUUUGGUUACGUGGAAUUUUGGAAAGUCUUAAGCAGAAGCAAAGCAAGUCAACAAUUUUGUUUUGUGACAAUAGUUCUACUAUUUCGGUCACAAAAGAUCCAAUUCUUCAUAGAAGGACAAAACACAUUCGCAUUCGAUAUCACUUCUUGAGAGAACUAGUGAAUAAUGGUGAUGUUCAAGUUGAAUAUUGCAAGACGGAAGAUCAGAUGGCUGAUAUCUUCACAAAGCCUCUAAGUGGACAAGUCUUCAAGAAAAAUGUUGAAAGGUUGGGAGUUCAAAGCAAGUUUAAUUUAAGGGAGGCAUUGUUGGCACAUAAUUAAAUUAACCUUGCACAAAUAAAUUAUGAAAAGUUAGAAGAGUGAAGAGACUUGAAUAUGAAAAGUGAAAAAACUUGAAUAUGAAUAGUGAAGAGACUUGAAGAUGAAAAGUUAAGAGGCUUGAAUAUGAAAAGAUACACACAUGCAUGAAUAGUCACAACUCCUAGCAUAUAGUGAUAUAGAUGAAUAGUCACUUACAACUCUUAUAUAAAGAGUUAUAUGUGAUGAAGAAUUAUUAACUUUGUGUGCUUGAAAUAAAAGAUUAUUUGAAAGAAUUUUUUCAUACAAAAUUUAUUUCUCUUCUCCAUUAUAUUCUUUAUCAUUUUCUUUGUUUUAUUUCUCCAAAUAUUAAUCAUUCAACUACAGAUAGGUCCAACCAUUCAAGACUUGUCAAAUCCCCUACUGAGGUAGGGAUACCACUAUUAAGGUUAUUAUGAGAAAGGUUGAGCCCUUUCAGUAAGUUAAGCUUCCCAAUAACCUUUGGAAUCUCCCCUUCAAACUGAUUGCUUGAUAGAUCAAUGAUCACCCACAUAGUGAAAAUUUUCACCAAUUCCACGUCUUGUCCUUUCAUAACAAUUCCAAUGGAAUAGGCAUAGAAGUCAUCUCCAUCAUUCACCCCCAUGUACGACACUGUACUACUAACCUUCUCUAGAUUUAUGAUAGCCUUGAAGCUGUUGAUGUAUCUCACUAGUAGGGGUCCAGAAAAAUAAUUACUUGAGAGGUCAAAAAUUUGGAUUUUAGAGAAAAAAGGGCUAGACUUGGAGUUAUUGACACACAGGGAACCAUGCAUUUGAUUUGACUUUAGUACAAGAACUUGUAGCUGUGGAAGACUUCCCAACCAAUGAGGAAAUGUAUCAUUGAUCUUGUUGUUACCAAGAUCUAGUACUUCCAGACCUCUACAAUUAAGGAUGGAUGGUGUCAAAGGCCCUCCUAACAGAUUUCCAUUUAAAUUGAAAUUACUCAAUUGGCAUCCCAUUGCAAAUGUUGGAGGAAUCGUCCCAUAGAACUUGUUCUUCUUCAGAUUCAAGAAUUGAAGGCUGUUGCUCAAAUUUCCAAAACACUGCGGAAUUGUUCCACUCAAGUAAUUGUGGGACAAAUCAAGAAUUUGAAGAUAAGUGGCAUUGCAUAUUAAUGAAGAGACCUCUCCAUUGAAACAAUUAUUUGAGAUCAAAAAGACAGUGAUGGUCGAAGCUGGAAUCGGAAGAUUUCCACUGAUCAAAUUGGAGCUUAAGUCAAGAAC